This 780-nucleotide ribosomal RNA is filed under the name uncultured bacterium. RNAcentral describes it as "bacterial SSU rRNA". It matches the Rfam family "Bacterial small subunit ribosomal RNA", at positions 8 to 796 of the family's 1533-position model. The record is from RNAcentral.
AGAGUUUGAUCAUGGCUCAGGACGAACGUUGGCGGCGCGCUUAAUGCAUGCAAGUCGAACGAGAACCUUCUGGUCCGUAAGGACCAGGUGGGGACAGUGGCGAACGGGUGCGUAACACGUGAGAAACCUGCCCUGGAGAUCGGGAUAGCCCGAGGAAACUCGGAUUAAUACCGGAUACCUUCACCGGAUCGCAUGACCUGGUGAAGAAAGGUCCGCCGCUUCAGGAUGGUCUCGCGGCCUAUCAGCUUGUUGGUGAGGUAACGGCUCACCAAGGCCGAGACGGGUAGCUGGUCUGAGAGGACGAUCAGCCACACUGGGACUGAGACACGGCCCAGACUCCUACGGGGGGCAGCAGCAGGGAAUAUUGCACAAUGGGCGAAAGCCUGAUGCAGCGACGCCGCGUGCGGGAUGAAUGCCUUCGGGUUGUAAACCGCUUUCAGGAGGGAAGAAAAUGACGGUACCUCCAGAAGAAGCCCCGGCCAACUACGUGCCAGCAGCCGCGGUAACACGUAGGGGGCGAACGUUGUCCGGAUUUAUUGGGCGUAAAGGGCUCGUAGGCGGCUUGAUAAGUCGGUCGUGAAAACCCGGGGCUCAACCCCGGGACGCCGGUCGAAACUGUCAUGGCUAGUGUCCGGUAGAGGUGAGCGGAAUUCUCGGUGUAGCGGUGAAAUGCGCAGAUAUCGAGAGGAACACCAGUAGCGAAGGCGGCUCACUGGGCCGGUACAGACGCUGAGGAGCGAAAGCGUGGGGAGCAAACAGGAUUAGAUACCCUAGUAGUCC